UACGGAAGGCAGCAGUGGGGAAUAUUGGACAAUGGGCGAAAGCCUGAUCCAGCCAUGCCGCAUGAGUGAAGAAGGCCUUCGGGUUGUAAAGCUCUUUUAGUGAGAAAGAUAAUGACGGUACUCACAGAAGAAGUCCUGGCUAACUCCGUGCCAGCAGCCGCGGUAAUACGGAGAGGGCUAGCGUUAUUCGGAAUUACUGGGCAUAAAGGGCACGCAGGCGGUUAAUUAAGUUGGAUGUGAAAUCCCCGGGCUUAACCUGGGAAUGGCAUUCAAGACUGGUUAGCUAGAGUCUUGUAGAGGGGGUAGAAUUCCAUGUGUAGCGGUGAAAUGCGUAGAGAUGUGGAGGAAUACCGGUGGCGAAGGCGGCCCCUGGACAAAGCUGACGCUCAUGUGCGAAAGCGUGGGGAGCAAACAGGGAUUAGAUACC
RNAcentral lists this ribosomal RNA (427 nucleotides) under uncultured bacterium. Its description in RNAcentral is "bacterial SSU rRNA". It matches the Rfam family "Bacterial small subunit ribosomal RNA", at positions 340 to 786 of the family's 1533-position model. The record is from RNAcentral.